Molecule: ribosomal RNA, 205 nt
Filed under: uncultured bacterium
Lineage: Bacteria
Description: partial 16S ribosomal RNA
Rfam family: Bacterial small subunit ribosomal RNA
Source: RNAcentral
ACGCUCGACACCUACGGAGGCAGCAGUUGGGAAUAUUGGACAAUGGAGGAAACUCUGAUCCAGUGACGCCGCGUGAAGGAAGAAGGUCUUCGGAUUGUAAACUUAUUUUGUCAGGGAAGAAAAAUGACUGUACCUGAAGAAAAAGCACCGGCUAACUACGUGCCAGCACGCCGUAGUAAUCUGGACGGCGGGCGUGGACGAAGGC